Molecule: ribosomal RNA, 492 nt
Filed under: uncultured bacterium
Lineage: Bacteria
Description: partial 16S ribosomal RNA
Rfam family: Bacterial small subunit ribosomal RNA
Source: RNAcentral
AGUGAACGCUGGCGGUAGGCCUAACACAUGCAAGUCGAACGGCAGCACAGUAAGAGCUUGCUCUUACGGGUGGCGAGUGGCGGACGGGUGAGGAAUACAUCGGAAUCUACUUUUUCGUGGGGGAUAACGUAGGGAAACUUACGCUAAUACCGCAUACGACCUACGGGUGAAAGCAGGGGAUCUUCGGACCUUGCGCGAUUGAAUGAGCCGAUGUCGGAUUAGCUAGUUGGCGGGGUAAAGGCCCACCAAGGCGACGAUCCGUAGCUGGUCUGAGAGGAUGAUAAGCCACACUGGAUCUGAGACACGGUCCAGACUCCUACGGGAGGCAGCAGUGGGGAAUAUUGGACAAUGGGCGCAAGCCUGAUCCAGCCAUACCGCGUGGGUGAAGAAGGCCUUCGGGUUGUAAAGCCCUUUUGUUGGGAAAGAAAAGCAGCAGGUUAAUACCCCGCUGUUCUGACGGUACCCAAAGAAUAAGCACCGGCUAACUUCGUG